This 447-nucleotide long non-coding RNA is filed under the name Linum usitatissimum (flax). Its description in RNAcentral is "long non-coding RNA (LUSI_LNC002843)". Lineage: Eukaryota; Viridiplantae; Streptophyta; Magnoliopsida; Malpighiales; Linaceae. The record is from RNAcentral.
GCCUUUUGUUUAGCAGCUACAGGUGCUGCUGCCUCCUUUGUUUCUUCAGUUUCCAGUUCUGCUGCCUCGACAACUUCCUCAGUUUCUUUCUCAUCCUCGUUCGUUGGUGCCGAUGCUCCAGCCUUUUUCUUCUGUUUCUUUUCGCGCUCCUGAAAGUGUGACCAAGAGAAGCAAAGAGGUUUAGUAUGACAGCGUUAGAAAGCAGGAGUCGUUACACAAGGGCACAAUGAAAUCAGCAAAAGACGAAGUAAUUUCCUUGAGCUUCUUUUCAGCUUCCUUUUCGGCUCUUUUCGCUGCUUUUGCAGCUGCUUUCUCAGCCAACUUCUUCUUCCUUUCCAUGGCCAGCUUAGCUUUCGCUAUUUCCUCCUCUCUUUUCAGUUCCUUCAGCUUUGCUUCGUCGACCGGAGCAGCAGCAGGGGUGGCUUUCGGUGCUAUUUCUAAUCCCGC